This is a long non-coding RNA of Thrips palmi, 860 nucleotides long. RefSeq lists it as uncharacterized. The record is from RefSeq and is a predicted model, not a curated record. The transcript has 3 exons. Lineage: Eukaryota; Metazoa; Arthropoda; Insecta; Thysanoptera; Thripidae.
GUUCAAGUUCAAGUUACGGGUUUCAACUUAGCAGCCCAGGGGUGGCUUCACAUUCACAUCUAAGUCUACUGGUGUUCUAAAUCUGUCCUGGAGAAACCCAUGAGUUGGCUGCUGAACGUUUCCGAUGCUUGAUGCUGUGACACACUCACUGACAAAUAUAAGAUUGCAUGUUGCUUGGGUGGAGACUAGAGAAUGGCAUUCUUCACCAUGAAACUGGACUUGACUUUGGAUAACCAACUACAUAAUUGAAAAGGGUCAUUCAUGAAGAAAAUUGUGUUUCGAAUGUUUUUUAUGGCCUGCUCUGUUGUUCAUUAAAAAUUGUAUGUUAUUCACCAGAGUGUUUUUUCAAGAAAACCUUUGCUUCAACAUUUUAUGUCAUUUAUCAGUGUUCAAAAAAAUUUUGUGACUAAUUUAAAUUGCUUAAUCCACUUGCAGGCUGCGCAGCAGUAUAUUUUGCAGAACUUGGAAGUUUUGCAAAAUUUACUGUUGCGCAGUAUGCAGGUGGAUUUAGGAAUUUAAUUUAGUUGGAAAAGUAGUUUUGAAUACAGUGAUAUUAUUCUUAAAAGUCAACUUAAACUGUACUAGAACUGCAGUGAGAACAAGGGGAGAACUGAGAAGGGAACUGCCGUAAACUGCAGUUGUCCAAAACUAUAGUUGCCAAAAACUAUAGUUGUCCGAAAUAACUGGUACUUUUACUACAGUUUAACUAUACUUUGGGCUUCACUCUUUUUGCACUCCAGCAAUAGUUAAACAUUAUUUUAACUGAAUUAAUAUGUUAGUUUUAACUAGAGUCAGUAACACAAAAAAACAGUAGAAUAUUGUUAUAGUCCAAACUACAGAUCCUUCCACCCGGGUGUUGU